This is a long non-coding RNA of Stylophora pistillata, 1577 nucleotides long. RefSeq lists it as uncharacterized. The record is from RefSeq and is a predicted model, not a curated record. NCBI's taxonomy places the organism in Eukaryota, Metazoa, Cnidaria, Anthozoa, Scleractinia, Pocilloporidae.
CCAAGCACUGUAAUUAAGACUAUAGUGACAGACAUCAAAAAAUGUAUAUAAUUUUCAUUUUCUUCAUGCUUAAAACUGUUUCUUUGGUUUUCCAUUGGGUAGUGUUGCGAACAAUUUGGUAAGAUGAAGAGUGUGAAGGAAGAACCAACUUGUAUGGCCGAGUCUCUAGAAUUACUUCCGGAAAACGAACGUCAAUUUUCAGCAAAUACGACGUCAACAUUAAAUAUAAAACGACAAAAUGGGAGCUGAAACGCGGUGGAAUGGAUCAAAGACGAAGGAAAUCAGUGUGACGCAAAUGUACUCAGGAGCAACAAUCUUUCCAUCGACUUCGUUCCACAAUAUACAUUUUUUUUGUUUUAUAUCUAAUACAAGUGCUGCACAAAUUACAUUAUAUAUAUAUACAUAUAUAUACACAUAUAUGAUAUGUGAAUCUUUGACUGGAAAAUAUUUAAGAAGUGAACAGGAUGUCGCGAGUGGGAUGUGACCAUUUGAUGUAUGGAGACGUAUCAUCAACGCCCACUGGUUACCUUUUUCUGAGCUCAAAGUUCGCUUUUACUCGAAUAAAUCAUAAUCCAGAUAAUUUAACUUGGAGAAAAAUACAGAUCUGAAGUCAUUUCUAUAAAAAAGUAGCCACUGAAAUCAAAGCUCCAAAAAUGAUCAUUUCAGUUCGAAACCGGAAGAAUAUUCUUAGCGACAAAGGAUUACUUCGAUUAAAAAUAGAUACGUUCUUCUUUCUCUUGCCAGUCCAUAAAACAGAGCAAUUUUACCCUAGUUUAUAGAGAGAGGUGUCGAGAAACUAUUUCCGUGAAUGGAAAAAACAAUUAACGAAUAAGUGUAUUAAUACAGGCUUGAACUAUAAGUAGCACUUUCUGUGACAGUAAUAUCGUGCAAUAUAGCUUUUGAAGAAAAUUCAUCGGGAAAGUUGAUGAGAGCUGAAUGUUCAAAUACAAAUGUAAGCGUUGUUUUAACACCGAAGGUAAGGAUAUCAAAAGACAAUAAAAAACGAACAGUAAUGCUCAAUUGAUAUCAACUAUAUUCAAAAGGAAAUAUAUGGCAUGUCUUUGUGUCAAUAAACAUAAGAUUCAAGAGAGAUUAAAUGAACCACAAGAUCAUAUAAGCAUAAAAAACAAUCACAACUUGUGUCGAUUAUGUUGUGAUAAGGUUAAUACAUCAGUAGGAUCCCUUAGAUAGGGAGGCAGUUCUGCUCGUUUAGAGACAAUUUAUGCAAGAAUCGCGAGGCACGUUCCGUGACUAGCAUCGAAAUCUCAGUUGUUGCACGGAGAUAUAGUUGAUAUAUGGAAUUAUGCCCUGAUUGGCAUUGAUAGCUGUCAAACGCACAGCUGGAGGCUAUCUGCUUAGAACUAACCUCUUCAGUCUAGUACAUCAGAAAAAGAGCCCAUGGCACAACUUGAAGAUUUAAGGGCCAACAAAGCCUUGAUACGCUAUCACUUACAACUGUAGGUUUGUUCUUUAAUCAUAAAAAAAACAAAGAUGUAUUGCUUGCGUUCCAGCAUCAUUUGGCUAAAGCUUGCUCACAUAUAAUUAAUCAAAUGUAUAAAUAAACAUAAACAAAAUUA